Pseudoliparis swirei is the source of this 545-nucleotide long non-coding RNA. RefSeq lists it as uncharacterized. NCBI's taxonomy places the organism in Eukaryota, Metazoa, Chordata, Actinopteri, Perciformes, Liparidae. The transcript is spliced from 3 exons. The record is from RefSeq and is a predicted model, not a curated record.
AGGAACCUCAACCCUGUUCCUUACCAUGCAGCCUAUGUGGGUCACAAAAUCCACAUGGACCAAAAUGAGAAGAUUGUCAUGUUUGGCGUGACUCAUGUGCUGGCAAUAGAUGGCUUCUCCAGCAAAAUUGUUGGACAAGCUACUAUGCCUGUAAAGAACAACCUCACCAUCUACAAUGACGUUUACAGGAGUGCAGUAAUGGAAUAUGGGAUGUGGGACCAGGUCAGAGUGGAUCAUGGAAGGAGUUCUACCUCACUCUUUUCAUGCAGGAGAAGUUGGCCAGCCACCGCCACAACACUGAAAGGCCACCAUAUCUCCAAACACCAUCGACAAAGAAUCACAGAAUCGAGAGAAUCUGGCCAGAAAUUAACAACCGAGUUAACUACCCGUUGAAAGCUGCAUUGGUCCAACUGGUGGAUCAGGAGGAGCUGGACAUGGAGGACCAGAUGACUCGGUUCUGUGUGUCAUCUUUGACAUGCCAGUUGGCCCAGAUCGGUGUUAACCGAACUGUGCAAGCAUGGAAUGCACACAGGAUUCCUGGUAUG